GAUGAAGAACGCAGCGAAAUGCGAUAAGUAAUGUGAAUUGCAGAAUUCAGUGAAUCAUCGAAUCUUUGAACGCACCUUGCGCCCUUUGGCAUUCCGAAGGGCACGCCUGUUUGAGUGUCGUGAACUCCUCCACCCUCUCCUUUUUCGAAAGGUGUUGGGCUGGGAUUUGGGAGCUUGCAGGUCCCUGGCCGAUCUGCUCUCCUUGAAUACAUUAGCGAAGCCCUUGCGGCCUUGGUGUGAUAGUCAUCUACGCCUCGGCUUAGCGCACUUAUGGGAGUCGCUUCUAAUCGUCUCGCAAGAGACAACUUUUACCAACUUGACCUCAAAUCAGGCGGGACUACCCGCUGAACUUAAGCAUAUCAAUAAGCGGAGGA
Molecule: unclassified non-coding RNA, 374 nt
Filed under: soil metagenome
Description: partial contains 5.8S ribosomal RNA, internal transcribed spacer 2, and large subunit ribosomal RNA
Rfam family: 5.8S ribosomal RNA (bases 1-120)
Source: RNAcentral